UUUUUUUCCCCUGUCUCCUUUAUUCCAUUUACCAGUACAGGGCUAUGACAAGAGGAAAAUUAUUCCUGGUCAGAAACAGGAUCUCUUUACUCUGAUGAGGUCAAAAGCAGUUUAGCUGAAGAGGGAACAGAAUCAUUUUCAGCACUGUUAGAAAAAGCACAUGGACAAGGAGUUGGUUCAACAUAAUGUCAGGAUUUCUUUGCCAGCUCUGGAAAGUGUUUUGCCUUGUCUUGAAGAACUAUUUCAUUUCCUCCCAAAAUGCAAGAGCUUCAGGAACCGUCAAGCAUCUUAAGAAGGUACACAAAACUUAAAGCUGACACUCAAGUACCAAGAGAACUGUACGCAACAGCAAGGGCAACUGGAAGUCAUGUAGAGUGCCUCUCAGUCUAUAAUUGCCAAAGGAGUGCUGCCACUGAACAGAUACAUUAUUGGAGCAAGGAGGAGCCCAGGGAGAGGCGAAGAGAGCAAGAAAAAUCUGACAAGCAGAGGAACAACGAGAACAGACAAGGAGAAAAACCUGUCAGUGGAAACCUAAUCCAACUCCAAGGAAUAUACAGCACUGCUCAAAGCAGAAUCUACAUGAUGACAAGGUCAUUUUCAUCUCAUCAGCUAUGAAGCGCAGCCUGGCACCUUCCUCCCCCAUCUCUUUCCCCACAGAGGUACAGAAGGAGAGAAUGAGUUGAAUGACAGGUGAUCAAGGUGCUGCGCUGAGUAAACAGCUGCUGGCAAUGCAAGGUUUAAAGAGCUGACAGAGCGGAUAGGUGUUGAGCUAUGCUGUUAAAAUGGAUUUAUCUUC
RNAcentral lists this long non-coding RNA (796 nucleotides) under Gallus gallus (chicken). Lineage: Eukaryota; Metazoa; Chordata; Aves; Galliformes; Phasianidae. The record is from RNAcentral.